GAGGGAGAGAAGAAACGUAUAAUCACCCAAACAACCUUUUUUUUUUUUUUAACCCAUUUUACCCCCUCUGGAUCUGUGUGGCAAGCUCUCAGUCGGUGUCUCGCCGCUGCGGAGGGACACGGAGGAGGAGGGGAGGCCGGGCCGGGAGGAAGACACCAAGAGGGAAACACUCUCAACCAACAUCCUGGGUAUAAAUUUGCAAAACGCAAUACAGGCCUGAUUGUGUGUUGAGUGGAUGCGGGGUGCAUACGAAUAGACCCUGGAACCCCUUCCUCUCUCCUCCUCCAAAGAGUACCACCCAACCCCUACCCCCAUCUCUUCUCGAGCUGCCAAGAGGAAGGGGGAAGUCGGAUGCCUGGGAGGAAAAGAAGUGGCAUGCCAAAAACACAUUAAUCCUCAAGUUCAAUUUGCACGUGAGUUCUAUUAUUAGGUCUCCUGUUGCUGAGAAAUGUGGGGGGGAAUUUACACAGGAAUUUAUACAUAGAAAUUGCAACAUGGCAGAUUUAUAGAUUUAUGGUUUAUUACAUAUCAGAUCUGUAGUAUAUUUGGGCCUCAUAGGCCUUGAUACUGACACAUGAUGCUAACUCAUGCAUUACAGCAGAGCUCAAUAUAGAUAUACAGUAUGUGAUAAAUGAGACUUAGCAACCAAGCCAGAAGUGGUGUGUUUUUCUUUGUCAAAACCUGGUGCCUACAUUGCCCACAAUGCAACAGUUCAGUUGGUGAUUUGCUUGUGUUAUGCUGUUGCUCAUGUGGCUAAUAUGGCAUCAAGCGGCCUACAGAGGUGUGUUAAUAUCACUUUGUUUUUCACUCCACAUCCCAUAUUUUCAUUUUUUCAUGUUCUUUUUUAUGUUAAUUCUGUACUGAGUGAAGUUCAACA
Molecule: long non-coding RNA, 877 nt
Organism: Hippoglossus stenolepis (Pacific halibut)
Lineage: Eukaryota; Metazoa; Chordata; Actinopteri; Pleuronectiformes; Pleuronectidae
Exons: 4
Source: RefSeq, a predicted model, not a curated record